GGAUUCCCCUAGUAACUGCGAGUGAAGCGGAAAAGCUCAAAUUUGAAAUCUGGCAGUCUUUGAUUGUCCGAGUUGUAAUCUAGAGAAGUGUUACCCGCGUUGGACCGUGUAUAAGUCUCCUGGAAUGGAGCGUCAUAGAGGGUGAGAAUCCCGUCUUUGACACGGACUACCAAGGCUUUGUGGUGCGCUCUCAAAGAGUCGAGUUGUUUGGGAAUGCAGCUCAAAAUGGGUGGUAAAUGCCAUCUAAAGCUAAAUACAGGCGAGAGACCGAUAGCGAACAAGUACCGUGAGGGAAAGAUGAAAAGAACUUUGGAAAGAGAGUUAAACAGUACGUGAAAUUGCUGAAAGGGAAACGCUUGAAGUCAGUCGCGUUGGCUAGAAAUCAACCUUGCUUUUGCUGGGUGUACUUUCUAGUCGAUGGGUCAACAUCAGUUUUGACCAGUGGAUAAAGUCAAUGGGAAUGUGGCUCCCUUGGGAGUGUUAUAGCCCUUUGUCGCAUACAUUGGUUGGGACUGAGGCUCUCAGCACGCCUUUAUGGCCUGGUUUCGACCAAGUUCGUGCUUAGGAUGUUGGCAUAAUGGCUUUAAUCGACCCGUCUUGAAACACGGACCAAGGAGUCUAACAUGCUUGCGAGUAUUUGGGUGGAAAACCCUCAUGCGUAAUGAAAGUGAAAGUUGAGAUCCCUGUCGUGGGGAGCAUCGACGCCCGGACCAGACCUUUUGUGACGGAUCCRCGGUAGAGCAUGUAUGUUGGGACCCGAAAGAUGGUGAACUAUGCCUGAAUAGGGUGAAGCCAGAGGAAACUCUGGUGGAGGCUCGUAGCGAUUCUGACGUGCAAAUCGAUCGUCAAAUUUGGGUAUAGGGGCGAAAGACUAAUCGAACCAUCUAGUAGCUGGUUCC
This 899-nucleotide ribosomal RNA is filed under the name Crepidotus sp. MCA 442. Its description in RNAcentral is "eukaryotic LSU rRNA". It matches the Rfam family "Eukaryotic large subunit ribosomal RNA", at positions 72 to 958 of the family's 3401-position model. Lineage: Eukaryota; Fungi; Basidiomycota; Agaricomycetes; Agaricales; Crepidotaceae. The record is from RNAcentral.